RNAcentral lists this transfer RNA (74 nucleotides) under Chaetoceros tenuissimus. RNAcentral's name for it is "tRNA-Val". It matches the Rfam family "tRNA". Rfam says of the family: Transfer RNA (tRNA) molecules are approximately 80 nucleotides in length. Their secondary structure includes four short double-helical elements and three loops (D, anti-codon, and T loops). Lineage: Eukaryota; Bacillariophyta; Thalassiosirophyceae; Chaetocerotales; Chaetocerotaceae. The record is from RNAcentral.
GCACGGGUGGUCUAGUUGGUUAUGACGACUGGUUUACACCCAGUAGGUCGGGAGUUCGAUUCUCUCCCUGUGUA